Long non-coding RNA from Rhododendron vialii, 1191 nucleotides. RefSeq lists it as uncharacterized. The record is from RefSeq and is a predicted model, not a curated record. Lineage: Eukaryota; Viridiplantae; Streptophyta; Magnoliopsida; Ericales; Ericaceae. The transcript has 6 exons.
UUCUCGAUUCCAACAACCAACAUGUUCUGUCAUUUAUCUAUUCUACGUUUGUUACUCACUGUAUCCCCAAUUUGUACAUAUUUCCUCUGCAAGCAUGCUUCAUUCGUCAUCUUUAAAAGCCUAUGUUACUAUCUGUUCUCAUCCAUUUUGCGCUUCCAAUGAACUUCAGACAAACAAUGCAAAGUACAAAGUGAUUGCCAACAAAAGCUUUUCUAGAUGACCACCAACAAAACCAUCCAUUUCAACCCCAAAACACAACAAAAAAAUCCUCGCCGCUGCCAAUCGCCAUCGAUAGCCGUUCGGCGUUGUGUUUUCCCAGUACGGGUCAUAGAGAAAAAACAAGGGCAAUAGAUUUGAGGGAAUGGAGGUUGAUCUGAAGACCAAAUUUUGCACCACCUGGUCCCGCAACUUCCUCAACUAGAAGGUAUGGAACCCUCUCCCCUGUAUUCCAACCAGCACCGCAAGUGGAUCACCGAGCAAACCCACGCCCAACACCGGCACCGCGCCGAAGUGUUCCUUGAAGCUUAAAAAUCCAAGGGCAUAACAGAAGACAGAAAAGUCUCUGUUAAACAACAAACAGGCAAAUAUUGUAUCAAACGUCGAUGAGGUUGACGGGGAGGAGUCAUCGAGGCUGAAGUUCAUGUUCCCGUUUUGUGCAGAGGAUUACGAUGUCGUUGGAAUCUGUUGUCAUAUCGAUGAGGAGCAUGCGGUGGAAGUGAAAAAUGGGGAAUUAGGUAGGCAAGUGCCACUGAUGGAUAAAACAGAUGACAAGGAAGAAACUCUUUUCUCAAUGACAUGCGGUCUGUCUUUCAAAGGGGAUAUAGAUGGAAAAUACUACAGAAAAUUGAGGCAACAAUUUCUCACCAAUUACGAGUGUGUGAAGCCCCUCAUUCAUUGAAAGAGGGAGUAGUGUAAGGUUUCUUCCUUUAACAAAUCUUAUUGUUGAAAGCCUUUCACCGCCGCCGCUAACCGCCGCCAACAACCAUCAGCUAAUGCCACCUCCGGCGCCAACAGCCAACGUCGCCUUCACCAACCACCAGGUACCACCACUGUUUAGAAUUUGAGUUUGGGUUUGAAUCAACAUCAAAUUUUGAUUAUUUUAUGUCACAUUUGAGUAGAACUCAAAUUUGAGUUGAGUUUGAGUAAACGUGGGAAGAACUGAAACAAAAACAUGUAGACAACAAUUGGAAC